GACGAACGCUGGCGGCGAUGCUUAACACAUGCAAGUCGAACGGAAAGGCCCUGCUUUUGUGGGGUGCUCGAGUGGCGAACGGGUGAGUAACACGUGAGUAACCUGCCCUUGACUUUGGGAUAACUUCAGGAAACUGGGGCUAAUACCGGAUAGGAGCUCCUGCUGCAUGGUGGGGGUUGGAAAGUUUCGGCGGUUGGGGAUGGACUCGCGGCUUAUCAGCUUGUUGGUGGGGUAGUGGCUUACCAAGGCUUUGACGGGUAGCCGGCCUGAGAGGGUGACCGGCCACAUUGGGACUGAGAUACGGCCCAGACUCCUACGGGAGGCAGCAGUGGGGAAUAUUGCACAAUGGGCGGAAGCCUGAUGCAACAACGCCGCGUGCGGGAUGACGGCCUUCGGGUUGUAAACCGCUUUCGCCUGUGACGAAGCGUGAGUGACGGUAAUGGGUAAAGAAGCACCGGCUAACUACGUGCCAGCAGCCGCGGUGAUACGUAGGGUGCGAGCGUUGUCCGGAUUUAUUGGGCGUAAAGGGCUCGUAGGUGGUUGAUCGCGUCGGAAGUGUAAUCUUGGGGCUUAACCCUGAGCGUGCUUUCGAUACGGGUUGACUUGAGGAAGGUAGGGGAGAAUGGAAUUCCUGGUGGAGCGGUGGAAUGCGCAGAUAUCAGGAGGAACACCAGUGGCGAAGGCGGUUCUCUGGGCCUUUCCUGACGCUGAGGAGCGAAAGCGUGGGGAGCGAACAGGCUUAGAUACCCUGGUAGUCCACGCUGUAAACGGUGGGUACUAGGUGUGGGGUCCAUUCCACGGGUUCCGUGCCGUAGCUAACGCUUUAAGUACCCCGCCUGGGGAGUACGGCCGCAAGGCUAAAACUCAAAGGAAUGGACGGGGCCCCGCACAAGCGGCGGAGCAUGCGGAUUAAUUCGAUGCAACGCGUAGAACCUUACCUGGGUUUGACAUGGAUCGGGAGUGCUCAGAGAUGGGUGUGCCUCUUUUGGGGUCGGUUCACAGGUGGUGCAUGCCUGUCGUCAGCUCGUGUCGUGAGAUGUUGGGUUAAGUCCCGCAACGAGCGCAACCCUUGUUCACUGUUGCCAGCACGUUAUGGUGGGGACUCAGUGGAGACCACCGGGGUCAACUCGGAGGAAGGUGGGGAUGACGUCAAGUCCUCAUGCCCCUUAUGUCCAGGGCUUCACGCAUGCUACAAUGGCUGGUACAGAGAGUGGCGAGCCUGUGAGGGUGAGCGAAUCUCGGAAAGCCGGUCUCAGUUCGGAUUGGGGUCUGCAACUCGACCUCAUGAAGUCGGAGUCGCUAGUAAUCGCCAGAUCAGCAACGCUGCGGUGAAUACGUUCCCGGG
Molecule: ribosomal RNA, 1345 nt
Filed under: uncultured bacterium
Lineage: Bacteria
Description: 16S ribosomal RNA
Rfam family: Bacterial small subunit ribosomal RNA
Source: RNAcentral